CAGCACACACACGGGCCUACCCCGUCCCCAAAUGUUUCCCACAAAAUCUGGCACUCCUGGUUCUAAUCAAAAUACUGAACUUUUUGGAACAAAUUAACAUUCCGCAGCCUCGCGGGGAAGGGGGAUCUCAGCCGAGACGACUUCAGUUCACAACCACAACAAAAAUAGCUCCUCCUGGGGAAGACGCGUUCUGCUAACAAGGUCACUUUUAUUUUGCUUCCCCUGCCAUCUGGCUGAGUGGCACCAGGGGCUGGCUCUGGUACCAGCUGGUUCUGCAGCGAGGACGGAGCCGGGUGGCGCUGCAGAAGGCUUCAGUCUCCUGGCAAGGGAAGCCGCGCAAAGUUACCUUCAGACAUCUCCAGAAAGUGCAGGGGCAGAUGGAGCCCCCCGAUUGGCCCAGCCUUGCGGGAGGUGUCGCCCCAGAGACAGCAACAAGCAGGAAAGACAAAAGAUGCUGGUGUCCUUUGUGAAGGACCUGCUGUUUGUGCAUGGUGUAGGACAGGGAUGGCCAGCUUUGCGUUUAUUUCAGUAAUUAUGCCAGCUCGACCCUCUUGACCUGGGAGGCCCCUUCGUUUCUGCUCCUGUUUCCUCGUCGGUAAGAUGGGAGGAGCGGUGACACUCUGGGAGCCGAGUGAGGAUCCACAAGGUCAUGAAACGGGACAGUGACUUUCAAGACCUUCGUUGCAAAUAAUGCAGCAACAAACUGAGUGCACUCCAGUUCCUAUAUGGACAUCCAAGUCCUCCUCCAUGUCCUUGCCCUGGAUGGAUAAGUUAUUUUUCAGAAGAAUCUGGUGACCACAGUGCAGGUGUGCAAAGCCCUGGGCUUGCCAGUGGCAUGGGGAAGUCCCUUCGUUAGACCUUAGACACACAGACGUCGCAUCCUUCCCUUCUGAGGAGAGGCUUGUGUUACGGUGGCCGGAUGUCCCUGUUUGCCAGCUGGUCUCGGGUCACACCUGUUGUCCCAGUGUAAAUAUUAACGGUACUGCUUUGCCCUCUCGGGAGGAUCCCGGGCUGGAUGAGAGGGUCUAGGUUGCCCUGUCUGUGGACUUUCCGGUGAGUGAGCCGUCCAAGGAAGGGUUCUUAGUGGGGGAGGGGAAUUUGCCUCCCAGGGGACGUGUGGCAGCGUGUGCCGACAUGUCCAGCCUCACACCUUGGGCAGGAGGCUCUCCUAGCACGGGCAGGUGGAGACCAGGGUGCUGCUGAUCACCCUGCAGAGUGCGGCCCAGCGCCCCCACCCCUCGGAGAAGGACCUGGCCCCGGGGUCAGCAGUCCCCGCGGUGCAAGGGGGAAGGACUAGGAAGGAGAGGAAGGGGACUCGAGCGGGGCUCGGGAAAUGAGCUCAGCUUUCCCUCCCGCCUCUGCCCUUUUGAAAUGGCUCAGUCCUGUCCGUUUGGUCCUCGGUGCAGAGGGGCUGACUCCAGCCCCCCGGGCCUGGCACAGAGCAAGUGCUCUGAGUCCCCGGGCUUGCCAAAGGCAGAACCCUCAGCUCCCAGGCGUAGGCGGUCCCCCCACCAGACCCCAGAGGUGGGAGAGCAGGGGGAGUCCCGCCUCACACCCUCAAUUGACAUUCCCAGAACACCCAAAUGACGUGUGGCUAUUCCAAGUCCCAAGUUAGGCCUUCAGCAGCGUCUGGGUCAGUGAUGGAAUGCGGAGAAGCCCUGGGCCUGUCCCCAUCUGGCCUGUUCAUAAUUGGGUGUGUUUCAACGCGCAUGCGCGUCCCAGCGCCAGAUUACGUCAUUGUCUUGGCCCCUCACCUGUCAGGUCUGAGCUCAGUCUGCGACCGCCGGGUGGCGGGCUCUCCGUAAAUACUCGUCAAGGGUGAGGUCAGAGGAAGCGGCCGACUUCAGCUAAGGACCAUUAUUAACCCACACCCCAGCCUCCUCCCCACCUGGGGGGAUGAGAGCACGGCCAAGGGCAGCGAAGAAUCACACUUGAAGAGCUCGGGAGAAAUCAGACGGAGCUUAAGUGAAAUCAGGCCACGAGAAGAGGCACAGGCUGUUCAUGAACAGGGAGGACCCAAACCCGGUGACCAAUGGGCUAGUCCUUAGGAACCUCGCUGCCCAGAUUCACUCCAUCACGGUGACUUCCCUAAGUACAGUGGAGACGGGUGAAAAAUCUUUAUGCCAAUAAAAAAAUAUU
Long non-coding RNA from Sciurus carolinensis (gray squirrel), 2139 nucleotides. RefSeq lists it as uncharacterized. The transcript has 4 exons. The record is from RefSeq and is a predicted model, not a curated record. NCBI's taxonomy places the organism in Eukaryota, Metazoa, Chordata, Mammalia, Rodentia, Sciuridae.